AACGCCCUCCGCAGUAGGAUCAUUUCUAUAGUUUACGUCCCUCUUUGACUCUUCUAAAGAGCCACUGAAUCCAACUUGGUUGAUGAGCUGCAGCCUUUGUGCCCUAGAGUGAGACUAGUAUUUAGCUUGUCCAUAACACUAGCUGUUUGGUCAUCUAUUUCUGUUUUGCCUUUUUUCUUACGACUUGGCUCUGAAGUCCUCCUUAUCCACCCCUGGGUGGUUGGGAGUUGUUCUCUGACUUGUUUUAAAAAGGAGCGAUGAUCUCUACCCUGUGUGCUACUCUUCCUUCGGGAUGGUGCCAUAUGGGUGGGCGCAAAUGGCAAUCUGACAAGU
This is a small nucleolar RNA of 333 nucleotides. It matches the Rfam family "Fungal small nucleolar RNA U3". From Rfam's summary of the family: Small nucleolar RNAs (snoRNAs) are involved in the processing and modification of rRNA in the nucleolus. There are two main classes of snoRNAs: the box C/D class, and the box H/ACA class. U3 snoRNA is a member of the box C/D class. The record is from Rfam.